This 28-nucleotide small RNA is filed under the name Bombyx mori (domestic silkworm). RNAcentral's name for it is "piRNA piR-bmo-1485933". Lineage: Eukaryota; Metazoa; Arthropoda; Insecta; Lepidoptera; Bombycidae. The record is from RNAcentral.
UCUACAAGAUUAUCGCGGAGGAAUUCGA